GUUUGGAACCAUGUCAUGCUUGAAAACAAUACUAAUAUGUUUUUCGUUCAUUCAUAUUUCAAAAUUGAUUCAGUGCAAAGUAAUAUUAGUUGUAGAUUCCGAUGAUCUAGAUCAGCUAGCUCAGGCACUAGAUCCAAUUGAAGAAACUCAACCGUUAGUUAAAACGCAAAAAGUUUCCGGUGUUAAAAGAAUUGUUCCUCAUGAAUAUAAAACGCCGGCGUUCGAAUACGACAACUACUUGAAGGCAAUAUUUAAGCCUCAUUACAGAGUGCACAAAAAACUGCCUAUUAUAAAUAGAAACAAGCUCCAGCAUAUUUACAAAUUAUUGUUCAAACCCAAAAUAUAUAAAGGCCGGAAUCCGAUCAACCCCAUCUUGAACUUAGCGAAACAAAACCGUCGACCUAUAUUGAGAGAUCCCCUGGAAGGCAAAGUCUAUGACCCUGCUCAUGCUCCAAGUAACAAGCCGGUGGAAGUAGAAUAUCACGCGGACCCGUCAAGGCCUCUGAAAAAAGAAUCACAAUAUAAUUUUCCAUACUUCUCUAUUUAUAAUUAUUGGACGUACGACAAGGAUCUAUUCCAAGAUCGCUGUCCGUUAAACCAUGCAUUGCAUGGCAAAGUCUGCAUCGCCAGUCCACACAUACAAACAUAAAUAUUCCUUCGAUUCAAAUUAAAUGAAAUAAAACAUGAAUGACAAGUUGCAUCAGCCACAGUUAGACAAACAAAUCAACGUCAUGCACUCACGUAGCAGAAGUCUAUGGAAAUACGCCCAUUCGAUUUUUUUAACUAACGCUACAUUUGUACGACAAGGCUGUGUUACAAGACCGCUGUCCAAAAAACCUAGUAUUACAUGGCAAAGUCUGCAUCUACAGUCCACACGUACAUACAUAAAUAUUCCUUCGAUACAAUUACUUAAAUGAAAUAAAACAUGAAUGUAAGUAUUA
This is an RNA transcript of Leguminivora glycinivorella, 941 nucleotides long. RefSeq lists it as uncharacterized. The record is from RefSeq and is a predicted model, not a curated record. NCBI's taxonomy places the organism in Eukaryota, Metazoa, Arthropoda, Insecta, Lepidoptera, Tortricidae. The transcript has 4 exons.